Molecule: long non-coding RNA, 1363 nt
Filed under: Gallus gallus (chicken)
Lineage: Eukaryota; Metazoa; Chordata; Aves; Galliformes; Phasianidae
Source: RNAcentral
UUGAUACUGAUUUUUGUGGGAAAAAAAGUACACUCACUGAAGGAGCCGUGCUUAUUACAGGUAAACAGCACAUAUCCGUAUAGUCAGCGUGUGCUAUUGGGCAAAGUGAACUGUAAGAACACAGUGUAAGUAACUCUUUGAGAUUUGUGGAUGAGCAGGUGUGGUUUAAGGCUUGAAUUGUACCUCAGCUUUGUAUGCUUUGUGUACAUGACUGAGUUUGAGCCUUGUCUGAGGAAGCUAAGGAGCUCAUUUCACAUCAGUCUUGAAGCAAAGGGAUUCUCAGAACACGCAGAGCUAAUCACAGCAGGGUCAUAGGAGGCAGAUACGUUUGCAGGACUGAUGCAGAGCUCCAUUGCUCGAGGUGGAUCCUGAGGAAUAGUUGCUAUUUAUUGCAGCCCAAUGUAUUGGAAUUCAAAACCAAGGAGAUCGAUCAUCCUCGCAUCAGAUCUGAGGUUUGGUACAUAGUAUGCAUUUUUUGCAGUGUGGUGGAACAAAGCAAUUAUUUCACAGCUGAAGGAAAACCAGAAGAUAUUUAAAAAUGGAAAGUUCCCUUCCCAAGCCAUAAUGGAUGACGACGGUAGUAGAAGUAAUAUAUUCAGAGGGACCAAAACAGGAUAACAAUUUUUCAGAAGCUGAAGAAAUAUAUGAGGGAAGAAGAGAGAUUGAUACAGCAGCAUUGGAACCAGCUUUGUCCUUGGAUUGCAAGGGAAUGGAGAAAUGAGGUGUCUUCACAGAUCUUUCUUAUGUGACCAAGUGGCAGAAAAUGCUGCAGAAAUCUACUUCAGACAAUGCAGAGUGCUAAAUUAAAGAGAAAAAGAUGAUACUGAGCUACCUGUCCAAACACUUUAGGCAAAAAAAGCUAAGCAAUCCUUCCACGAGACAGGAAGAAGGAAGAAGGGACAUAAUCCUGAGAGAGCCGAAUGAAUAUAUAUGUUUGCAAUUUCCCUUGAAAUCUGCACAGAAAAUAGGAGUCAACCAUAAAUUCAAAUAAAUCACUGCAAAGACUCACUGACAGAUUCUUUCCAUGCACCUAACGCAGCAAUUACAGAGUCUGGUAAAACUGAGACAGAAAUUGAAAACAGGUUAUUCAUAAAGAAACAAGACGAACCUGCCAGAAUCCUGCUGAUCUAUCAAGCUAAAGAAAAUACUGGACAUCAGCUGCCUCUUAUAGAAAUUCUUCUCUAGUCUGUGAUUCCAUGAAACUGCUUCAUCUGCACACUGCUCAACAGAUCGAAGCUCAGCUUCCGUACUUGGAAGCUUCUGAUGCUUUUGACUUAUUUCCUGGAGAAGCAAUAAACUUGGAGAGCCAUGUUCUUGUUCCUAAUUAUAUAAGAAUUUUACUGCAGGAUGUGGCAAGAAUAUU